AACGAACGCUGGCGGCAGGCCUAACACAUGCAAGUCGAGCGCGCCUUCGGGUGAGCGGCGGACGGGUUAGUAACGCGUGGGAACGUGCCCAGAUCUGCGGAAUAGCCUCUGGAAACGGAGAGUAAUACCGUAUGAGCCCUUCGGGGGAAAGAUUUAUCGCCAAAGGAUUAGCCCGCGUUAGAUUAGGUAGUUGGUGGGGUAAUGGCCUACCAAGCCUACGAUCUAUAGCUGGUUUUAGAGGAUGAUCAGCAACACUGGGACUGAGACAC
RNAcentral lists this ribosomal RNA (269 nucleotides) under uncultured Alphaproteobacteria bacterium. Its description in RNAcentral is "partial 16S ribosomal RNA". It matches the Rfam family "Bacterial small subunit ribosomal RNA", at positions 29 to 327 of the family's 1533-position model. Lineage: Bacteria; Pseudomonadati; Pseudomonadota; Alphaproteobacteria. The record is from RNAcentral.